Molecule: ribosomal RNA, 78 nt
Filed under: Ailuropoda melanoleuca (giant panda)
Lineage: Eukaryota; Metazoa; Chordata; Mammalia; Carnivora; Ursidae
Description: similar to 28S ribosomal RNA
Rfam family: Eukaryotic large subunit ribosomal RNA
Source: RNAcentral
UGGCCAUAGAAGUAGGAGUCUGCUAACGAGUGUGUAACAACUCACCUGCCCAAUCAACUAGUUCAGAGAAUGGAUGGC